UUUCCGUAGUGAACUGCGAAGGAUCAUUAAAAAUAUCGCUCGAUGAGAGUGAUUUAAAUCAUCUACCUUUUGAAUUGUUGUUUGUAAUAAUUUUUUUGAUUUUAAAAAAAUAUUUAUGGUUUGUCUAUCCUAAAUUGGUUUGUUGUGAAAUGAAUCAAAUUUAGGAAUAGCUUCAUAAAAAGUUUUUUAAGUCUUAAAGACCUUUUUAAAAUUAAACUUUGUAUUCAUUUGUCUAAAUUUUUUUAAAUAUUAAAAACAACUUUUGACAAUGGAUUCUUGGUUCUCGCAACGAUGAAGAACGCAGCAAAAUGCAUAAGUAAUGUGAAUUGCAGAAUACGUGAAUCAUCAAAUCUUCGAACGCAUAUUGCACUUUUUAGUUACUAAAAAGUAUGUCUGUUUGUAUCAGUAAAAUAUUCUCAUAAAACAUUUUUGUUUUUAUGGUUAUGAGUGUUUACAACGAUAAACAAGUUUUCACUUUAAAUUCAUUUUAAUUUAAGACCAUUUUUGUUUUAAUAAAAAUUGGAUAAAUUUCCCGUAAAAGGAAUAAACUUUCAGUUUUUAAUUAUUACAACAAACGGCCGAUUUAAAAGGAAAUUUAUAACUUAAAUAACUUGAUCUCAAAUCAGAUAAAGUACCGUGAACUUAAUCAUAUAAGCGAGGAAAAGAAACUAACAGGACUCCUUAGUAACGGCGAGUGAAGCGGAAGAGCUCAAUUGAAAUCUUCAAGGUUCUACCUUGACGAAUUGUAGUUUAAAGAAGUGUUUUCUGUAAUGAGUAGCAAAGUUCCUUGGAAUGGACAUCAUAGAGGGUGAGAAUCCGUAUUUGGUUAUUCAUUCUAGCUUUGUGAUACACUUUCAAAGAGUCGGAUGUUUGGGAAUGCAGUCCAAAAUGGGUGGUAAAUUUCAUCUAAAGCUAAUAUUGGCGAGAGACCGAUAGCGAACAAGUACCGUGAGGGAAGAUGAAAGAAUUGAAAAAGAGUUAACAGUACGUGAAAUGUCAAAAGGAAGCGUUGACACAGUGUUGUUUCGAAAUCAAUUACGAAUGGCUUGAUUUGUGUUGUAUUGACCUUAUCAGCUUCUUCACUUUUUUCGAGUCUUUCUUAAUGCACUUUCGGUAACAAGUCACAUCAAUUCUUUGUUGUAAAGAGUAUCGGAAGGUGCUUUCUUUCGGAGAAGUGUUUAUAGCCCUAUACUUCUACAACGGAGAGAUUGAGGUCUGCAGCGUAAUCUCGGGUUAGAUACAUUGUGCUAAGUUGUAGCUUUUCAUAGACAACUUGUUGACUAUGUUUAGUCAUGCGGCUUACUCGUUAUGCUAUUUUACCUACGCUUAGGAUG
RNAcentral lists this unclassified non-coding RNA (1334 nucleotides) under uncultured Neocallimastigales. RNAcentral describes it as "partial contains internal transcribed spacer 1, 5.8S ribosomal RNA, internal transcribed spacer 2, and large subunit ribosomal RNA". The stretch from base 613 to 1334 matches the Rfam family "Eukaryotic large subunit ribosomal RNA", at positions 1 to 628 of the family's 3401-position model. Lineage: Eukaryota; Fungi; Neocallimastigomycota; Neocallimastigomycetes; Neocallimastigales. The record is from RNAcentral.